GAUGAACGCUGGCGGCGUGCCUAAUACAUGCAAGUCGAGCGAACAGACGAGGAGCUUGCUCCUCUGACGUUAGCGGCGGACGGGUGAGUAACACGUGGAUAACCUACCUAUAAGACUGGGAUAACUUCGGGAAACCGGAGCUAAUACCGGAUAAUAUAUUGAACCGCAUGGUUCAAUAGUGAAAGACGGUUUUGCUGUCACUUAUAGAUGGAUCCGCGCCGCAUUAGCUAGUUGGUAAGGUAACGGCUUACCAAGGCAACGAUGCGUAGCCGACCUGAGAGGGGGAUCGGCCACACUGGAACUGAGACACGGACCAGACUCCUACGGGAGGCAGCAGUAGGGAAUCGUGCGCAAUGGGCGAAAGCUUGACGGAGCAACGGCGCGUGAGUGAUGAAGGUCUUCGGAUCGUAAAACUCUGUUAUUAGGGAAGAACAAAUGUGUAAGUAACUAUGCACGUCUUGACGGUACCUAAGCAGAAAGCCACGGCUAACUACGU
This 496-nucleotide ribosomal RNA is filed under the name uncultured bacterium. RNAcentral describes it as "partial 16S ribosomal RNA". It matches the Rfam family "Bacterial small subunit ribosomal RNA", at positions 28 to 506 of the family's 1533-position model. The record is from RNAcentral.